GCAUAAACUCGAUCACUAACUCUGCAAGAUAUUGGAGAAGCGAGGGGAACCAGGUUUGCUAAAACACAACUGAAGUGACAGAAAUGGAAUAACUUCAUUUAUUUGGAGGUGCCACAGGACACCUACAAAUUCCACAGUACUGAA
RNAcentral lists this small nucleolar RNA (144 nucleotides) under Sorex araneus (European shrew). The record is from RNAcentral. Lineage: Eukaryota; Metazoa; Chordata; Mammalia; Eulipotyphla; Soricidae.